Molecule: long non-coding RNA, 1117 nt
Organism: Acyrthosiphon pisum (pea aphid)
Lineage: Eukaryota; Metazoa; Arthropoda; Insecta; Hemiptera; Aphididae
Exons: 3
Source: RefSeq, a predicted model, not a curated record
UUUAAAUAAUUUAGAUAUUAGAAAAUAUAUUGACAUACGACAUAUACAUGACUAUUAACUACCAUUAUAUUUUUCAAUCUAAUUUCACUCUUGGAUUACUCUCUCUAGAUUGCCAAUGAUUAGGUAUAGUGUUGUUCGCUGUGGACUUAAUACAGUACCCAUUAAUCAUUACGAUAUUUAUUAAUGUAGUCAGCAUCUAUAUUAAAAAAAUCGAACUGUAGUAGGUACGUAUUUUUGUACAAUGGUGGCCCUACAGUAAGCUUGUAGGGAGUAUGUCGAUGUGUAAGCACUUUUCCGGUUACUUUAACGUAUUUACCACAGUAUGACUAUACAAGCAUUAAAUUCUUACCUAGGUACUACACAUUUGGCUUCGGGUCUUGACUCUUGGAUCCACUGCUCCAAGUGUCCCCAACUACCACAUUACCACUUGAUAAAUUAUAAUAAAUAAAGCUAAUAUAUUACCCUUAACUAUAUCUUCGUGUGGAAGGGUUCAGAACCCAGUGGCCAAUACUAUAGACAUAAUCUUGGCCGUGGUCACGCCAGUGUGUAUCCAUAUGUGACAUCAACGAAGACGUCGGUGUCAAGUUGGCCGACCUAUUGGGUGCCAAGUUUGGAAACGUCAAAGUGAUAUUUUGUCCAUGCGACGUCACCGAUUAUCCACAGUUUCAAGGGUGUUCCAAAUUUCAUGUGACAGCAGAUUUCAGCAUGAUCUACUUAAAUUAGAAAAAAAUGACCUAUGUGAAAACCUCUUUGAAUCAUAUACUCUAAACUAAUUUGAUAUUAAUUAUUUUUUUUAUUAAUUAAAAAGGGGAGAUUUUAGGGGUAACUUUUAAAAUUCAAAUGGGAACCUAUAUUUUUGAAAUAUGAUUCAUAUAGGAUUUUUUUUUUAACGAAUUUUGACGUAUCAUUCAUAAUUAUGGGUUGAUAAUUAAAGAAGUUAUUUACAUUAGAAUUUUGUAUUUAAUUUGUAAAAAUGCCAUCAAUGAAUAAUAAUAAUAAUAUACUUAGUGCUUCUGUUAUACGCCGAUUCAUUGUUGUACCUACAAGUUACAACCUUAAUAAUCUGUAAGUUAUCUAACUACCAAUUUACUAGUAAUAAAACGUGUAUUUGGUAUCU